AACGAACGCUGGCGGCAUGCCUAACACAUGCAAGUCGAACGAAGGCUUCGGCCUUAGUGGCGCACGGGUGCGUAACGCGUGGGAAUCUGCCCCUCGGUUCGGAAUAACAGUUAGAAGUUACGCUAAUACCGGAUGAUGACGUAAGUCCAAAGAUUUAUCGCCCAAGGAUGAGCCCGCGUAAGAUUAGCUUGUUGGUGGGGUAAUGGCCUACCAAGGCGACGAUCUUUAGCUGGUCUGAGAGGAUGAUCAGCCACACUGGGACUGAGACACGGCCCAGACUCCUACGGGAGGCAGCAGUGGGGAAUAUUGGACAAUGGGCGAAAGCCUGAUCCAGCAAUGCCGCGUGAGUGAUGAAGGCCUUAGGGUUGUAAAGCUCUUUUACCAGGGAUGAUAAUGACAGUACCUGGAGAAUAAGCUCCGGCUAACUCCGUGCCAGCAGCCGCCGUAA
Molecule: ribosomal RNA, 448 nt
Filed under: uncultured bacterium
Lineage: Bacteria
Description: partial 16S ribosomal RNA
Rfam family: Bacterial small subunit ribosomal RNA
Source: RNAcentral